AUAUGAUACCAAUAACACACACCUUCACAUGACACCAAUAACACACACCUUCACAUGACACCAAUAACACACACCUUCAGUGAUGGGUUAAUGAUCAAUAUAUAGAUGGUGGAUCGACAGAGAGUAAGUGAUGGGUUAAUGAUCAAUAUAUAGAUGGUGGAUCGACAGAGAGUAAGUGAUGGGUUAAUGAUCAAUAUAUAGAUGGUGGAUUGACAGAGAGUAAGUGAUGGGUUAAUGAUCAAUAUAUAGAUGGUGGAUUGACAGAGAGUAAGUGAUGGGUUAAUGAUCAAUAUAUAGAUGGUGGUUCUGAUCUUAUCAGAUGUAGACAGAUCCUAUAUGGUCUUCCCAAAAUGACUGACCUGUUUCAAUAUACACUGUUUUUAAUCUGAUUUCUCACAUCGACUUAUUUGAUUACAUGGUACAUAAUGGUUUUUGUGAUAGAACCGUUUGAUCAGUAGAUGGUUUGUGGAUAUUUGGCCUGGAUGGUGCAGUAGUUCAUGUAUCGGACUAGUCCUUGGCUUGAUUCCCAACUUUAUCUGUACAUUGUAUAUUAUCGAGGGUGGGGUGGGGGAAUCGUUUCAUUAUCUUUCAAAAGGAAAUGUCACAAAAGGUAUAUGUAUACCAAAUGUGAACCCAUAAAGUUAAGUAUUGAGUUAAGAAUAAAGUUAAAGUUUCUGUGACAGAUUAACAGACAGACAAGAAUACACACACACACACACCCCUAAAGAAGUCUCUCCUAAGUUCUCGAUGUUGCAGUUUAUUAGUGGGAGGACAUAUCUUAACAUACAAGUAUAAGGGAAUAUUUAAAUUUAAUUUUUUUUGGUUUGAUAGCAACUGAAUUCAGUCAUAUAUAGGUAAUAUAAAACUCACAUCAAAGUUAGAAUAAAUUGCUUUAUCAAAUCAUUGUAGCAGUCUUCAUGUCCUAGUCUCAUAAGAGACAAUUUGCUAGAAAUAUAUUGUUGAUAAACUUGCAGUGUGACAGCCGACCUCUCAGUGUUUUGUCUUUUUAGAUGGAGGAAAUGAAUACGAACCUGGGGAAAAGCUCCCGUGUUUUGUCAGGAAUGAUGAAAAGAAUCAUACAAAACAGACUUAUGCUUCUUGUGAUAUGUGCUAUUCUGCUGAUCGUCAUCGUGUUAGCCAUAUAUUUCAUCGUAAAGAAAAAGUCUUGACGACGAAUCCCAGUAGCAGACUUUGGGUGUCAUUAGUGCAAUCUCAUCAGGUGUACCUGUUCAAUCAACGUUUAACGUGUGACGGCAAAGUGUUCACCAAAGAAGAAAAUGGAAAAUUGAUAGCAACCAAGAGGGGAAAUUUGCUUUUAAACCAGGAAGAAAGUGUAUCUAAACAACUUUUAAUUGAUUUUAAAUUUGAUACUUUUACAGUAAUUUUAAACUAAACCUUUAUUUUUUUCCAGAGAAUAGACUGCAAUUGAAAUUGCAUUACACUGUCAGUAGUGAAUGUCUCGUGUGUCCUGUAGGAUGUGAUUACUUUUGUUGUUAAUAUUAUUGUAAUAAAUGACAUUAUCAUCUGA
Molecule: long non-coding RNA, 1528 nt
Organism: Ostrea edulis (European flat oyster)
Lineage: Eukaryota; Metazoa; Mollusca; Bivalvia; Ostreida; Ostreidae
Exons: 2
Source: RefSeq, a predicted model, not a curated record